CCUACGGGUGGCAGCAGUGAGGAAUAUUGGUCAAUGGACGCAAGUCUGAACCAGCCAUGCAGCGUGAAGGAUGACGGCCCUAUGAGUUGUAAACUGCUUUUGUAAGAGGGUAAACGCAGAUACGCGUAUCUGUCUGAAUGUAUCUUACGAAUAAGGAUCGGCUAACUCCGUGCCAGCAGCCGCGGUAAUACGGAGGAUCCGAGCGUUAUCCGGAUUUAUUGGGUUUAAAGGGUGCGUAGGUGGUCGGAUAAGUUAGUGGUGAAAUCCCGAGGCUCAACUUCGGAAUUGCCAUUGAUACUGUUCGGCUAGAGAACAGUUGCGGUAGGCGGAAUGUAUGGUGUAGCGGUGAAAUGCUUAGAGAUCAUACAGAACACCGAUUGCGAAGGCAGCUUACCAAGCUACUUCUGACGUUGAGGCACGAAAGCGUGGGGAGCAAACAGGAUUAGAUACCCCUGUAGUC
RNAcentral lists this ribosomal RNA (460 nucleotides) under uncultured bacterium. Its description in RNAcentral is "partial 16S ribosomal RNA". It matches the Rfam family "Bacterial small subunit ribosomal RNA", at positions 338 to 795 of the family's 1533-position model. The record is from RNAcentral.